RNAcentral lists this ribosomal RNA (253 nucleotides) under uncultured bacterium. RNAcentral describes it as "partial 16S ribosomal RNA". It matches the Rfam family "Bacterial small subunit ribosomal RNA", at positions 524 to 776 of the family's 1533-position model. The record is from RNAcentral.
UACGUAGGGUGCGAGCGUUGUCCGGAAUUAUUGGGCGUAAAGGGCUCGUAGGCGGUUUGUCGCGUCGGAAGUGAAAACCCAGGGCUUAACCCUGGGCUGGCUUCCGAUACGGGCAGACUAGAGGUAUGCAGGGGAGAACGGAAUUCCCGGUGUAGUGGUGGAAUGCGUAGAUAUCGGGAGGAACACCAGUGGCGAAGGCGGUUACCUGGAGCUUUGCUGACGCUGAUGCGCGAAAGCGUGGGGAGCGAUCCGG